Molecule: ribosomal RNA, 253 nt
Filed under: uncultured bacterium
Lineage: Bacteria
Description: partial 16S ribosomal RNA
Rfam family: Bacterial small subunit ribosomal RNA
Source: RNAcentral
UACGGAGGGUGCAAACGUUGCUCGGAAUCAUUGGGCGUAAAGCGCACGUAGGCGGUCCGGCAAGUCGGGUGUGAAAGCCCUCGGCUUAACUCGGGAAGUGCUUUUGAUACUGUAGAGCUUGAAUGUGGGAGAGGGUAGUGGAAUUCCAGGUGUAGUGGUGAAAUACGUAGAUAUCUGGAGGAACACCGGUGGCGAAGGCGGCUACCUGGCCCAACAUUGACGCUGAGGAGCGAAAGCCAGGGGAGCAAACGGG